Molecule: long non-coding RNA, 367 nt
Filed under: Dromaius novaehollandiae (emu)
Lineage: Eukaryota; Metazoa; Chordata; Aves; Casuariiformes; Dromaiidae
Description: lncRNA (ENSDNVG00000010946.1)
Source: RNAcentral
AUUAACUUGCAAGCUAUUCCAGGGCUGGAGGCUACUGUUUAGUGAUUAUUAUUAUUCCUGUCUUGCAGAGGCCAGAAGUGUGCCAAACAUUUUCAGAAAUGUGGAAAAACAUCAUUCUCUGGACAGAAUACUGAACAGGAUGAAACAGAGAGAUUCCUGGGACUGAUACCAUCCAAUUGAUACAAGAAACGAAGCAAUGGUUGGGGAUUCAUCACAGAGAUAAAUUUACAAUAUCAACGUGAUAGAAGAUCCUUUUGGAAAAAAUCAAAGCAAGUGAAUUGCAGAGGUAAGGAAACAUCCUUUUGCUGACUAGAUUCUUGCAUAAUCUGGUCUUAGUCUCACUUUAGUGGAGUGUCUUUCAAUGUUA